Molecule: ribosomal RNA, 468 nt
Filed under: uncultured bacterium
Lineage: Bacteria
Description: partial 16S ribosomal RNA
Rfam family: Bacterial small subunit ribosomal RNA
Source: RNAcentral
GACGAACGCUGGCGGCGUGCUUAACACAUGCAAGUCGAACGGAAAGGCCCUGCUUUUGUGGGGUGCUCGAGUGGCGAACGGGUGAGUAACACGUGAGUAACCUGCCCUUGACUUUGGGGUAACUUCAGGAAACUGGGGCUAAUACCGGUUAGGAGCUCCUGCUGCAUGGUGGGGGUUGGAAAGUUUCGGCGGUUGGGGAUGGACUCGCGGCUUAUCAGCUUGUUGGUGGGGUAGUGGCUUACCAAGGCUUUGACGGGUAGCCGGCCUGAGAGGGUGACCGGCCACAUUGGGACUGAGAUACGGCCCAGACUCCUACGGGAGGCAGCAGUGGGGAAUAUUGCACAAUGGGCGGAAGCCUGAUGCAGCAACGCCGCGUGCGGGAUGACGGCCUUCGGGUUGUAAACCGCUUUCGCCUGUGACGAAGCGUGAGUGACGGUAAUGGGUAAAGAAGCACCGGCUAACUACGUG